This is a non-coding RNA of Pelobates cultripes (western spadefoot toad), 204 nucleotides long. NCBI's taxonomy places the organism in Eukaryota, Metazoa, Chordata, Amphibia, Anura, Pelobatidae. The record is from the annotation of a GenBank genome assembly.
ACAAAUUCGGGGGGCGGAGCCUGACUAACAAGCGGACUAGACGUGCAUGUCGAGAACUCCUGAGUCCGGAGCCAAGAUUCUGGGUCUAACGCCCGACCACCCGAUCACAUCGACUGCUAAACGCAAUAAUCGUGACAAGGAGACUGCACUGCAACCGGAGAUACCCGACACUUGGCUCUCCGGUGCUGGGCGGACCAAAUCGUG